RNAcentral lists this transfer RNA (85 nucleotides) under Chloroflexota bacterium. Its description in RNAcentral is "Chloroflexi bacterium tRNA-Tyr". It matches the Rfam family "tRNA". From Rfam's summary of the family: Transfer RNA (tRNA) molecules are approximately 80 nucleotides in length. Their secondary structure includes four short double-helical elements and three loops (D, anti-codon, and T loops). Lineage: Bacteria; Bacillati; Chloroflexota. The record is from RNAcentral.
GGAGGGGUGGGUGAGUGGUUUAAGCCACCGGACUGUAAAUCCGGCGCUCGGAAGAGCUUCGUAGGUUCGAAUCCUACCCCCUCCA